This 68-nucleotide transfer RNA is filed under the name Marmota monax (woodchuck). RNAcentral's name for it is "tRNA.Ala". The record is from RNAcentral. Lineage: Eukaryota; Metazoa; Chordata; Mammalia; Rodentia; Sciuridae.
GGACUAUAGCUCAGUGGCAGAGCGCUUGCCUAGCAUGUAGGAGGCACCGGGUUCAAUCCUCAGCACCA